This is a long non-coding RNA of Triticum aestivum (bread wheat), 5431 nucleotides long. RefSeq lists it as uncharacterized. The record is from RefSeq and is a predicted model, not a curated record. NCBI's taxonomy places the organism in Eukaryota, Viridiplantae, Streptophyta, Magnoliopsida, Poales, Poaceae. The transcript is spliced from 15 exons.
GAAGGAAAUUCCUUCCCUCUUGCCCGGCCGUGGGCAAAAAGGCCUCCGGCCGGCCCUCUCGCGCCCUCCUUCUAGCAGCGCUGUAACAGGUACUCUCACCACUGGAAAGAAAAUCUCUACUUUAGACAUACUAGCAAAUAUGCACGUGCGUUGCACCGGGAGAAUCAAAACACACUUCCCUGACCCAAUGACUCAAGACAACAUUCUGUUGCAUCAGCCAUGUAAUAUAUAGUUUACCAAUGGUCUUAAAAUGCAUGUAUGAGAUGCUACACUUCAAUCAUGAAAGAAUUGAUUAAUUUAAAUAUCUAAAUUACCUUCCUAGUUAAUUUGUAGUAUAAGGAGUCAUUACCUUCAUCAUUUGAUUUAUCAUUGAGAGCCUAAAUCAUGAGGAUCGUACAUGUAUGUACAUAUAUAAAAAAUUAAGGUUUAAUUGGUCAGUUACCAGAUGCCCAUUACUGAUUUUCGUUACCAAAUUUCUUCUAAACAUACAAGCACGGAGACCUAUAAAGUCUAAAGUACAACUCAAUUAUCUUUCAUAUAGAAGGAAACAUAAUAAACGAAUUUGCACAUACCACACUAAAACGAAUUUUUUAUUUGAAGAGGUCACAAUAAUUUUCAUGAAAUCAGGUGUAUGAUUCGGAAUUUCUUUUUUAACCAUGCAUGCUUCAGAUUCCACGAAAAGGCAUUAUUCCCCGUCCGUUGAAACGAAAAAAAAUAUCAUCCCUCAUACACACACCUGACAGCAUCGGCGAAUCCCUUCAAAUCUUUCACAAUGCCACACGAGAAACAGCAUGAUAAGUGGUGUCGCGCAAAGUUCAUAAGGUUGUAUUAUUUGUGAAAUGUACUCAACAUGUUUCCAAUUUAUUAGACAACAGAAAUAUCAACGUUAAGACGGGAUUUUCAAAAUACCCCUAUAAAGAAGAUAUUAAUAAAGGUUGCAUCAUAAAUGGAAUUUUAGGAAUGAUGAUUAAUUUAAUAGCAUAUUUCAAAUCUACACAUCUUUUUAAAGGGAUUUCCAUAUAUAACAUGUUAGAUUUGGAGUUAGGAUCUGAAAGUGAUUAAUAUAAUACCAUAUUUGAAAUCUACACAUCUUUUUAAGGGAUUUCUAUGUAUAACAUGUUAGAUUUGGAGUUAGGGUUUGAAAGAUAUGAGUUUUUUUUUGAAAUAUUUGAAUAUGUCCAAAAAUAGAAAGAAUGAAAAUAGAGUAACUGGUACAUUGUGCAGCCCAUCUGCUAAGUGACGCUGGGGCGAGUAGUAAUAUCCUACGCCUACCAACAUUAAUAGGAGAGAAAAAGAAGAAAAGAGAGAAAGGGGAAUCGAACCUGGUGAAGCUCACACCACUACGCCAGCCACCCGCAAGUUAUUGACUACAUGGGCUUAAUUUUAAUAACCGAGCCUAUCGCGGAUUUUAGAAGGGGCAAACCGAACCGUUUUUUUCACUUACCAAUGGCAUGGUGGGUAAUUCUUUACAACCUCAGGGGCAGUUUCAAUGACGGACGACAGAACCCCAAUUCUUUUUAUUAUUAGGUAAAGAUAUGAAGUCCAGCGGAUGCUUUCGUUGGUCAUGCAUGAGUUCCCAAAAGAAUGAGGUCCGUGUGUUUUCAGUUUACUGGAUAGGUCAAGCAGAUAAACGCAACUAUAGUAAGAGUAGUUCAGUAUUACAUAUAUAGUUUAUUUCAGUAAAUUGGAACCGUAAAGAGUGUCUAGAACCGAGUAAAUUUUCUGGAGUUAUGAAAUUAUUUCAGUACAAUAUCUUGAGAAAGAAAAUACUACAUAAUAUGCCUGUCAUUUUGUGUUUUGCAGCUUCCAUGUAUUUAACUUAUGCUGCAAAAACAUACAGUACUCUGAACAACUCCCUCCGUUCACUAUUAUAAGAUGUUGUAACUUUUUCCUCAAUCAGAUGUUUAUAGACACAUUUUUUAGUGUGUUUGUUCACUUAUUUUUGUUCAUAUGUAGUUCAUAUUGAAAUAUUCAAAACAUCUUAUAAUAGUCAACGGGGAGAGUACAAUUCAUGAUCUCACUUUCAUAUACUUCUAGAGAGGUUUUUUCCUUUUGCUUUAUUAACGCUCAAAUAGUACAUAUUGUACGUUGCAAUUGUUUGAAAAUGGGAUAGGAAAUAUUUUUGUGGAAUUUGUCAAUUGUCAUGCAGGAGGAGCAGAAAAAUGAGAACGAUCUUUGUAGUUUAUAGGACAUGCCAAGGUAGAUAAGUGCACUCUCUCCUAAUUGCCUUAUUAGAUCAUAUCAUCUCUUCAAGAGCGGUAUUUUUGUUUCAAAUCCUCAACUUCGGAUGAUGUAUUUAUUCCAUCGUCGAUAUUCAGAAUCCAGACGUACAAAGCUGGCUACCCAACUUGAUAGAAUAUAUUGAAUUGAUCUACUACUUGAAACUAGUACCAUGAUACGGCGUUCGGUUUUAAUUGCGUCCACGUCCCUGAUUUCUCCACAAAAAUAAUGGGCAAAAAGCAGUUGAAAAAGCCUGGAGCCGUGAAAUUGAACAUAUAAACCCUCCUAGACUCGUAGUCAAGACCGUGCCCUCCACGUCGCCCCAUAUAAUCGCUAUGCCACUACUUGUAAAUUCUGCAUCCCACCAAGGGCAUUUUAGUCUUUUCAACGGGUCAAGGGCAUUUUAGUCUUUUCAACGGGCCAAAAAGGCAGGCAGCGCGGGCAGGAGCGAGACCGCGCAGACUGCAUCUUCCCCAUGAACCCUAGCCGCGUCCUCGCCUCCUCCUCCAUCCGCGCCGCCUCCUUCAUCCGCGCGCCGCGUCCUCUUCUCCUCCUCCAUCCGCGCGCCUCGGCGUCGAGGCCAUGGAGGGCGGCCGGGUCGGAGCGGUCCCCCGCGUCCCUCCUUCCCCGCUCGGCGCUCUCUACUCCCAGCGCAGCUGCCGCCUCCCUCCACUCUUCCUAUCUCGCCAGAGCCGCCGCACCCGGAGGCGACCGGCGUUGCUCCAUCUCCAGCUGCCCGUUCCCUUCUCUCCCUGCAGCGGGCGGAGAAGAUGGCGAGGAGCUCGUCCGCCCACCUUCCACCAUGGUUUGCAGCGACCGGAGAAGAUGGAGAGGCCGAGCUGCGGCUGCCUCGUGUGCGCUCUCCUGCAUCUCGCGCGGGAGUGAGUGGUGGUGACUAGCAUAGAAGGCGGAGGAGGUCAUUGGGGCCGGCUUACCUUCCGUUUUGGUUGCCAAGCUCCGCGCAUUGGUGAGUGCCUCUCUCUAUCCCUCUACAUCUCUCCCUCUCUCUGUCAGAGGGCAGCUGCCGACCCCGAGGUGCAGGCGGCCAUGGAAAAGCAGAAGAUGCCACACCUGGCUUUUCCCCUUGCCUCCUGCCCUUUCUCUUCAGCUCAUUUAUUUACAUGUGCAAAUUCUUUUUUAUCAAUGCCUGCAAGGUGUUUGAUGAAAGUUCAGUAAGGCUGUGAGGGAAUACCAAACAAGAGAGGAUCCAGUAUCUGUAGCUAUUGAUUCAGGGUGGAGCUAAUGUGAGUGGUGCUGGUCCUUGUUAUAAUCCGUUGGUAACGGCUGCAGAAGGGCUUAACUGAAGCUAUCAAGUGCUUGUUGGAAGCUGGUGCAAAUCCAAAUGUUCUUGACAAGUUUUGUUGGGAUGGGCGUAUGGACUGAAUGGUACUGUCCUGAACUGAAAUGAAGAACUUCAAUGGAAAUGUAAUACUCCAAUCAAGCAAUGUGACACUAGUCAUUGUGUGCAGGUUUUCCCAACAAGUUUGUUGUAAUGCCUUAUUUAAGCCAUUUUUAGUUCAGUACUAAACAAAUUGGCCCGGGGAGACGACCAUUGUGUCCUGGAAGAAGCUGGUCAAGGAGGCAGACCCGGGAGCCGCCCUGUUUGCACGCCCCGGCGAUACAGCCCAUCGUCGCCCCCCUCGCGGGGCCCUCUGGUGUUGCGAUGCAGGAAAAACUGCUCACCAGGAGCUUGAUGGUUUGAAUUUCAUGAAGGAUACCACUGUAGCUCUUACUAAUUUGCUGGCAUCUGCACUAGCAGAAAUCAAGUGUGUGGCCAGCAUAGUUUUUUCAUCAUUCAAUCCUCCACCGAGUUAUAGGAGGUACAUCCAACAGAAAAUGACCCAAAUGAUCCGUCACAGUCAAAUCGGUUCAAUGUGGUUAUUGAGAUAAUCGAGCGCCUUUACAUGGCAUAGUAGUCACGAAGAAGAUCUGGGUGAUGUGCCUGAUGAUAAUCAGUAUGCCAGUGAAGAUUCUUUCAUUGAUGAUGCUGAAUUGAUAUCAGUGGUCCAUGUCGCAAUAAACAAGUGAUUCAUACUUAAACAUGACAUGAGGAAGCUUGGAUACACCUUUCAGGACCAGGAUAUACUCGAUCUGGGGGAACAUGGGCUUCUUUCUUCUCUUUCUAUCAAUUUACCACCACAGACCAUAUAGACCCCCCCCCCACUUCCCUUCAGAGCAAAGCGGCAUACCGAAGCUAAAAAAGAAAAAAUUAUAAGGACCAUGGAUGGUCUUAUAUAUUGUGAUGUGGCACUAUCUCUAAAAUUUCCAAAUUAUGACCACUAAUUUGGUCAGGGGUCUCACACUGGAUUUCAUUGCAAGCCCAUUGGCCCUCCAUCAGCGGCAGCGACGAGCGACAGUCAGCACGAGGUCGGGGUGGAGGGUCAUGAGCACCAGCAGGGGCGUCGAGGGGCACCAUGGUCACUGUGGGAGCACGCCAAACCGAAGGCCAUCACCAGCCACUGGAUAGCACACUGCGAGAUCGGCGGUCAAGGCCACGUUCACGGCUUCGGGGGACCACCCAUGGUCAUCAAGGUGGCGGCGUCCGUGUAGGAGAGAGAGAAGAUGAGGAGAGAGAGAGAAGGAAGGAGAGGAGGGACAAAGAGAGGUCAGUGGAGAGGGAGGUGCAGUGUCGUGAGAAGAAUACAAUGGGGCACGGUCUUCUGGAGGUGCAUCAGGUCCAUGCCAAGGGCCUCUCGGGCAGCGAUUUCCUCGGGAAGAUAGAUUCGUACGUGGUCGUGCAGUACCGGAGCGCAAGGGCAGCACGAUCCGAGAUAACUACUUCAGGUUAGGCGGGAGAAUUAAAAAGGGUAAGCAUAGAUAUAUGGUCUAGCAUCACGAGGUUCAGGUUCCUGCUGUUGAUCAACCGUUGCUUCGGUCGAGUUAGAGAUUAAAGAAGACUGAAAUUAUGGGCUCGCAGCGAGGAUUGCUGUGUCCAACCUGCACAAGAAUGCCAAGAAGUCCUUCUCGGAGACGAUUAAGGACAUGUACCAACGAGAGAUCUGGGCUGCUUCUUUGUGGCUUCCAAACUUGAAAUGUUUGUUUGGAAGUUAGUUUAGUUUUUUGUUAUGGAUUCACAACUUCUCACAUGUACCAUCCUAUUAGACCUUUAGAUUUUCAAAGAAACUAAAUGAAGAUAUCUUGGUAUGGUCUCAAUGAAGAAUCAUGUAUCUAUGUUAAAGCUUUCCAUGCUUUAUAUUUUCUCUGAAAUUUG